GCUCUUCUGCCACUUCUUCGUCACUUGAAUCAGUAUCAUGUUCACUUUCAACUUCACUCAUUUCGAUUAAAUGUGUUAAAAACCGUUACUCAAAACCAAUGGAAGAUGGAAUCUUUUUUGUACUUCCCUCCACGGUACUCAGGGCCUAAGUUGUCUCGUACUGAAGGCGAGGCAGGCUCUACUGCAACAACAACAAGGCACAAUACGUCUCCAAAAUUGUUGUAACACUUGCGGAAAGGAACACUCAAGGUUUUUUAAAAAACCCCUCCAGCCCCCUAUUACAAUGUUGUUAAAGUUAGCUAUUGUGAUAUCGAAGGUGAAAAUUCUGUCACUGAGAGCUGUAUUGAGAAAAUGAAUCGAUAUUUUACGGGGAAGGGGGUCAAAAUUAUGGAAUCAAAAGACAUACUGGGGUCAAACAAGUAUGGAAACGAUGCUAAGAACGGCGGCUCGCAGAAGCCAAAGGCCUAAGCCGACAGGUUUUUAAAACAGAAGUUAAGCGCUAAGGGGUUUAUGGUCAAAAAGUCAGGGAAACAUUAGACCGGUGCCUGAGCCUCCUAGCACUACAUCCCUGCCAAUGAUCUGUGCACUACAUCCUUGCCCCAGGUACAGAUGUGUAAAAUUUUCCAGGGUUUGUCUCCUGAACCCUUUGUCUUCAUGUUCUACCAUGUUUCGCCUUCAAUUUUAGAGUUCUGCCUAAUUCAUCAUUAAAUUGAGGCAAAAUUUUACCAGAUCAAUAUCCAGUCCAGGGCAAAAGAUCUACUACCCCAAAUAGAAAACAUGGAAUUUACACCCUUGGUUUUGGAAACAAAUAUGUCAUAUCCUCAUUCUAAUGUUUUAAAGGCUGAAUUGUUUAUAUUUGUUAUAUAUACCUUUGCUAUUCUAGCAUUGGUUCAUAUAAGCAUGGCCUGUAUCAUUUAAAUUUAUCUUCUUUGCUAUAGUAACAGUGGUUGCCCUUUCAUCCCAAAAUUUCUCUCUUUCAUCCCAAAAUUUCUCUCUUUCAUCCCAAAAUUUCUGGUAGGUUAGUAUUUAUCCCUGUCAACCCGGCCUUUCCCGGAGACGCAGGCUCCAGCCCCCGCCCGCGCAAACCCCACGCAAAAAAGUUUUGCGAGGGCUUUUUUCACCCACGCAGUUGUUUAUAACUACCCUCUCAUUGAAUUCUUUAUAACAACGUCUCACUCUCUAAUGUUUUAACUAAUAACCGCUAUAUAUAUCAAGGUAUUCAUAAAUAACAUCGUGUCAAAGAGAUAAAUGGUUUUUAUAAAUAUCGUUAUAAAAAGGGAAUUUUCGUUUCUUUUGACAUCAAAUGUUAACAAACUAUAGUAUUACCUGUUACAACUAGCAAAGGAAUAGAAAAUGGUUGUGUAGGAAAGGAACAACAGAUAGCGUAAAAUAACAAAAAUGAGAAUUGUUACACCACACUGUCAAGUAUGAAAUUUGUGUUACGAAUACACUCAUUUUUUAAAAGAAGCACGCUAUCAGAAACGACAACUGGGCAACUGGGUUGGGAUUUGUCAACAACAUAGAACGAAUCAUUCACCCUUCCUGAACUCUCUUGUUACUUUCGAUCCGCAUUUCUGCUUCCCUUUAUGCUUUGAGGUUUAUGUAUAUGUUAUUCGCCGACUUUUAUCAGAUAUCUCUUUUGUCAUUUUAAGGAGUAGUAAUGCACACAAAACAACUGUCUUCUUAAGAUAAAUCAUGUUUACAAGUAGAUAGUAAUAUAUUUUUAGUAGAUAGUAUACUCAGAUAUAAAUAGAUAAACAACAAAUUCUGCAAGGGCUAAAAAGCCCACGCAGCCAAACCAGCAAGGGUUUUUUUAGCCCGCAUGCUUUUUAUUCCCGGAGAGGCCUGUUACAGUAACUUAUUUAGGUUUAUUUCUAUUAUUUGCCUAUAAUUUGCAUCAAAUCAGUAGAUAUAUUUCUUUAUCAUUGCGAUGUCUGCAUUUUCCAUGUGUAAAUACGGCCUACUGAAAUUACUUGAGAUAAAGAAGAUGCACAUUUCUGUUCAGGAUGUAAAAUUAUCUCAAUCAAGACAACAGCUUCUUGUAUAUCACAUCGAUGUGCGUAAUCAAUGCAUCUCACAUUUUGCAUGGAUGCAUGAACUCUUACCUUCAUGAAGUUUUUAUAGCUUUAAAUGUGGAUUUUACUAAAAAACACCUCGGACGUAGCCUUCUUUCCAUAACCUAUAACCAUGUUUUUUGUUACGGAACGCUUUCGGGACACUUCCACGCUUUGGCAUAGAAUUUGAUUUGGUAAUCAAAUGUUCAUAAAAUCUUUGGUUGUCGAAGUUUGGAAGGUUCUCCAAAGACUUCGUCAAACCAACUUUAUCAUCUGAAAACUUAUCGACAUCUAAGCCCACUUCUUCAAAUUCAUCGACAUCAAUUAGUUUCUCUCAGCUUCUGGUGUCGCUCCAUUGACAGCACUGUCAGUAGGACCUGUGUCCCUGCAAGAGUUUUGAAAAAGCUAGGGAUGUCCUUUUUCAUAAAAUCUCCGUGAGUUUCAGUAUUUCCAAUCAUGAUUUCGGCAUAAAUACUUUGAUAACAUGGCGAAGCAGUGAAAAACAAAGUUAACAAGAUGGAUAACAACGGUGUGCGUAACUACAACUACCAGAAUGCAUUGAAUUUUUCAUUUAUUCAAGAAUUUUUUUGCAUACAAAAAGGGUAUUUGGAGGGUACGACCAUUGCAAGAAUAUUGAGCUAAAAAGAUAAAAACUAUGAAGUAACAGGAAAUCCUUAUAUUACAAUCAUACAAUACAUACUAAAAGAUGCGCAGAAAUAAAUUAAAGUGAGGUUUCCACUAUCCUGGGUACCACAGCUACAGAAUCAUGCAAUGGAAAUGGUAUAGGGGAGGAAA
Rhopilema esculentum is the source of this 2849-nucleotide non-coding RNA. The record is from RefSeq and is a predicted model, not a curated record. Lineage: Eukaryota; Metazoa; Cnidaria; Scyphozoa; Rhizostomeae; Rhizostomatidae.